RNAcentral lists this ribosomal RNA (379 nucleotides) under uncultured cyanobacterium. RNAcentral describes it as "bacterial SSU rRNA". It matches the Rfam family "Bacterial small subunit ribosomal RNA", at positions 376 to 770 of the family's 1533-position model. The record is from RNAcentral. Lineage: Bacteria; Bacillati; Cyanobacteriota.
CGAAAGCCUGACGGAGCAAUACCGCGUGAGGGACGAAGGUCUUUGGAUCGUAAACCUCUUUUCUCAGGGAAGAAGUUCUGACGGUACCUGAGGAAUAAGCCUCGGCUAACUCCGUGCCAGCAGCCGCGGUAAUACGGAGGAGGCAAGCGUUAUCCGGAUUUAUUGGGCGUAAAGAGUCCGUAGGUGGUUCAUCAAGUCUGCUGUUAAAGCGUGCAGCUCAACUGCAUAUAGGCAGUGGAAACUGUUGAACUAGAGUAUGGUAGGGGUAGGGGGAAUUCCCAGUGUAGCGGUGAAAUGCGUAGAGAUUGGGAAGAACACCGGUGGCGAAAGCGCCCUACUGGGCCAUAACUGACACUGAGGGACGAAAGCUAGGGUAGCG